Molecule: ribosomal RNA, 201 nt
Filed under: Triticum aestivum (bread wheat)
Lineage: Eukaryota; Viridiplantae; Streptophyta; Magnoliopsida; Poales; Poaceae
Description: partial small subunit ribosomal RNA
Source: RNAcentral
AAAAAUUAAGGGGGGAUGGGCUUUAGGGACUUCCAGUGCUUCAACUUGGCGGUGCUGGGGAAGCACGGCUGGCGCCUACUGACACAUCCUAGCUCCUUAAGUGCCCGAGUUUUGAAAGGAAAAUAUUUCCCACAAACUGAUUUUCUUCAUGCAACGGUUCCCGCUCGUUCCUCAGCAACUUGGCGGGCUAUAGUGGCGGGC